Molecule: ribosomal RNA, 698 nt
Filed under: Salmonella enterica
Lineage: Bacteria; Pseudomonadati; Pseudomonadota; Gammaproteobacteria; Enterobacterales; Enterobacteriaceae
Also listed under: 1 other name
Description: partial 23S ribosomal RNA
Rfam family: Bacterial large subunit ribosomal RNA
Source: RNAcentral
AUCCGGGUUGCGGACAGUGUCUGGUGGGUAGUUUGACUGGGGCGGUCUCCUCCUAAAGAGUAACGGAGGAGCACGAAGGUUGGCUAAUCCUGGUCGGACAUCAGGAGGUUAGUGCAAUGGCAUAAGCCAGCUUGACUGCGAGCGUGACGGCGCGAGCAGGUGCGAAAGCAGGUCAUAGUGAUCCGGUGGUUCUGAAUGGAAGGGCCAUCGCUCAACGGAUAAAAGGUACUCCGGGGAUAACAGGCUGAUACCGCCCAAGAGUUCAUAUCGACGGCGGUGUUUGGCACCUCGAUGUCGGCUCAUCACAUCCUGGGGCUGAAGUAGGUCCCAAGGGUAUGGCUGUUCGCCAUUUAAAGUGGUACGCGAGCUGGGUUUAGAACGUCGUGAGACAGUUCGGUCCCUAUCUGCCGUGGGCGCUGGAGAACUGAGGGGGGCUGCUCCUAGUACGAGAGGACCGGAGUGGACGCAUCACUGGUGUUCGGGUUGUCAUGCCAAUGGCACUGCCCGGUAGCUAAAUGCGGAAGAGAUAAGUGCUGAAAGCAUCUAAGCACGAAACUUGCCCCGAGAUGAGUUCUCCCUGAGACUUAGAGUCUCCUGAAGGAACGUUGAAGACGACGACGUUGAUAGGCCGGGUGUGUAAGCGCAGCGAUGCGUUGAGCUAACCGGUACUAAUGAACCGUGAGGCUUAACCUUACAAC